This is a non-coding RNA of Musa acuminata subsp. malaccensis (wild Malaysian banana), 1962 nucleotides long. Lineage: Eukaryota; Viridiplantae; Streptophyta; Magnoliopsida; Zingiberales; Musaceae. The record is from RefSeq and is a predicted model, not a curated record.
CCAAAAUACGUCACACGGUCCGCAAUGGGCGGAUGCGAGAGUGGGUGUGACGGCGAGUGAUCGACCGCCCUCGAUGCAGCUCGCUCCCCUUCUCGGCCACCGCCCUCUUUGCUGCCGCAUGCGAUCGCUUCGCCGUCUCGGCAGCGGCGGUGGCAUCGGGGAAAACGUCCGACCUCACUUCAGCCGCUCCGCCUCUAGCCAUCUGAACCCUAAUGCAAAGAAUCAAAAGUACGAGAGGAACGCCACCAAAUAUUGGGACGAUUUCUAUAAGCGCCACCAGGGCAAGUUCUUUAAAGAUCGCCACUACCUGGAGAAGGAUUGGCGGCGAUAUUUCGCUUCUUCCGGGGAGAGCGGUCAGGCAUCUAUGGAUCCUAAGGUCGUACUAGAGGUUGGUUGCGGAGUUGGAAACACUCUCUUCCCCCUUCUGGCUGCAUUUCCUAAUGUUUUUAUUCAUGCUUGUGAUUUUUCACCUCAUGCAGUUGCUUUUGUUAAGGAAAAUGGUGCUUCUGUUUCAGACAGAUUGAAUGCUUUUAUUUGUGAUGUAACAAAGGAUGAUCUUUCCAAGAUCAUAAUGCCAUCAUCAGUUGAUGUUGUUACCAUGAUCUUUAUGUUGUCUGCAGUUUCUCCCAUGAAUAUGCCUGCAGUGUUACAGAAUGUCAGAACCAUUCUGAAACCAAGUGGCUAUGUACUUUUUCGAGACUAUGCCCUUGGGGACUUUGCUCAGAUCAAACUUGCAAAUAAAGGUCAGACGAUUAGCGAAAAUUUCUAUGUCAGAGGUGAUGGCACUUGUUCUUUCUACUUUUCUGAGGACACAUUAUCAAACUUGUUUGAAAGAACUGGUUUCAACACUCUGGACAUCAGUGUAUACUGCAGACAGAUUGUGAACCGUUCACGGGAUAUAGUGAUGGAUCGGCGCUGGAUAAGGGCCACAUUUUGCACUUAAGUUUUCUCAAGUACAAAAUGGAACAGGUUUUUUAAAGUAUAUCAAGGGAGAAAAUGUCAGGUGACAAACAUUGAAGAUGGAGCAGGUUUUUUAAAGUUUUCUGUGGUGUAUUGAUUGCUUUAGUGCUGGAUGAUUCUUGCAGACUGCAAUGCAUGCUUAGGGAAUGGAUCUUUCAAGAAGCAUAAGACCUAGUUUGACAGGUUUUGUGGUCAAACUUUGUAUGUAGUUCAUGAGCUCAAUAUUCUGAAUUAAAUUUUUUUUUUCACUUUGCCCCUGUUACCCAACAAGAGAUUAGUAGUUGGUUGAGUUUUAAAGAAGGGAAGUGGCCCAUGAAGGAAGGUUCUAUUAGUUAAUUCUGUUAUUACUAGUGUUCCUCUUUGUUCCAUGCUCACUAGAUUCUGAGGGUAUGGUGAAAAGAUUUAGAUGAUCCUCCAGGGAAUUCUUUUGGAACCUGGUAUCAUCAGUUGGGAGAGGGUUGCUACCCCCUAAGGACUCGGGGGACAACCCAUCCUUUUUGUCCCGGUGAAAUUUCUUGCCAACCCCACUGAUUAAUUACACUGAGGACCUUUAACGGGAUUCCUGACAGUUGUAAUUUUAAUUUUCACAAUUAAGUCUGGUUUUACCAUUGAAUGUGAUGGCUCACUGGAUUUCAAUUCUGAUCUUGCAGGAACAGCAUAUAUUAUCAAAUUCAGCGGAGAGGAGCAGAAUUAGCAUCUUGCGAUUAUUAUAGAAGAGAUGAAACACUACAUAUGUCAUCAAUCUUUUUAUCCGGCAAUUGAAACCCCAUCCACAAGAUAUGGAGGAGCUUGCGAGAGUGAUCCGGCUAAUUGUAAAUGUUUAGCUGUGGGGAGCACAAUAAUUCUACUUUGUUGUCAUCUGACAGUUUCUGGGAGGCGGAACACUCGUUCAGUUCGAUCCACUAAUUAUUGUGUUGACACUGAAAUAGAAAAAUAUUUAAUUUCUUGCAAAAAUCAUUUUUAUGAUGUUCUAACAAUAUCAAGCCUUUCUUUGGUAAUUAU